Small nucleolar RNA from Diospyros lotus (date-plum), 107 nucleotides. Lineage: Eukaryota; Viridiplantae; Streptophyta; Magnoliopsida; Ericales; Ebenaceae. The record is from RefSeq and is a predicted model, not a curated record.
AGACCAUGGUGUGGAUAUCAUCUUUGCAAUUCCUUAAACCUUUCUUGCGUUUCAUGCAAAGAUUCACCGUCAAUUUGAACAAAACUAGUAAUAUCAUUCCUUAGUUU